GCCUUCGUGGUGUAAUGGUCAGCACACUUGGCGCGUAUUCGAGAGGUCCGAGGUUCGAGUCCUGGCGAGGGCA
This 73-nucleotide transfer RNA is filed under the name Stegodyphus mimosarum. It matches the Rfam family "tRNA". Rfam says of the family: Transfer RNA (tRNA) molecules are approximately 80 nucleotides in length. Their secondary structure includes four short double-helical elements and three loops (D, anti-codon, and T loops). Further hydrogen bonds mediate the characteristic L-shaped molecular structure. tRNAs have two regions of fundamental functional importance: the anti-codon, which is responsible for specific mRNA codon recognition, and the 3' end, to which the tRNAs corresponding amino acid is attached (by aminoacyl-tRNA synthetases). tRNAs cope with the degeneracy of the genetic code in two manners: having more than one tRNA (with a specific anti-codon) for a particular amino acid; and 'wobble' base-pairing, i.e. permitting non-standard base-pairing at the 3rd anti-codon position. The record is from Rfam by way of RNAcentral. Lineage: Eukaryota; Metazoa; Arthropoda; Arachnida; Araneae; Eresidae.